This 443-nucleotide ribosomal RNA is filed under the name uncultured prokaryote. RNAcentral describes it as "bacterial SSU rRNA". It matches the Rfam family "Bacterial small subunit ribosomal RNA", at positions 355 to 796 of the family's 1533-position model. The record is from RNAcentral.
UAGGGAAUAUUGGUCAAUGGGCGGGAGCCUGAACCAGCCAUGCCGCGUGCAGGAAGACGGCCUUCUGGGUUGUAAACUGCUUUUACCAGGGAACAAAAGGCCCAUGCGUGGGAGAUUGCGUGUACCUGGGGAAUAAGCACCGGCUAACUCCGUGCCAGCAGCCGCGGUAAUACGGAGGGUGCAAGCGUUGUCCGGAUUUAUUGGGUUUAAAGGGUGCGUAGGCGGCCUUUUAAGUCAGGGGUGAAAUCCCACGGCUCAACCGUGGAACUGCCCUUGAUACUGGAAGGCUCGAGUACGGUUGAGGUAGGCGGAAUUUAUGGUGUAGCGGUGAAAUGCAUAGAUACCAUAAAGAACACCGAUAGCGAAGGCAGCUUACUGGACCGUAACUGACGCUGAGGCACGAAAGCGUGGGGAGCGAACAGGAUUAGAUACCCCCGUAGUCC